AUUGAACGCUGGCGGCAGGCCUAACACAUGCAAGUCGAGCGGAUGAAGGGAGCUUGCUCCUGGAUUCAGCGGCGGACGGGUGAGUAAUGCCUAGGAAUCUGCCUGGUAGUGGGGGAUAACGUCCGGAAACGGGCGCUAAUACCGCAUACGUCCUGAGGGAGAAAGUGGGGGAUCUUCGCACCUCACGCUAUCAGAUGAGCCUAGGUCGGAUUAGCUAGUUGGUGGGGUAAAGGCCUACCAAGGCGACGAUCCGUAACUGGUCUGAGAGGAUGAUCAGUCACACUGGAACUGAGACACGGUCCAGACUCCUACGGGAGGCAGCAGUGGGGAAUAUUGGACAAAGGGCGAAAGCCUGAUCCAGCCAUGCCGCGUGUGUGAAGAAGGUCUUCGGAUUGUAAAGCACUUUAAGUUGGGAGGAAGGGCAGUAAGUUAAUACCUUGCUGUUUUGACGUUACCAACAGAAUAAGCACCGGCUAACUUCGUG
RNAcentral lists this ribosomal RNA (484 nucleotides) under uncultured bacterium. RNAcentral's name for it is "partial 16S ribosomal RNA". It matches the Rfam family "Bacterial small subunit ribosomal RNA", at positions 30 to 507 of the family's 1533-position model. The record is from RNAcentral.